RNAcentral lists this ribosomal RNA (550 nucleotides) under uncultured bacterium. RNAcentral describes it as "bacterial SSU rRNA". It matches the Rfam family "Bacterial small subunit ribosomal RNA", at positions 355 to 896 of the family's 1533-position model. The record is from RNAcentral.
UANGGAAUCUUCGGCAAUGGACGGAAGUCUGACCGAGCAACGCCGCGUGAGUGAAGAAGGUUUUCGGAUCGUAAAGCUCUGUUGUAAGAGAAGAACGAGUGUGAGAGUGGAAAGUUCACACUGUGACGGUAUCUUACCAGAAAGGGACGGCUAACUACGUGCCAGCAGCCGCGGUAAUACGUAGGUCCCGAGCGUUGUCCGGAUUUAUUGGGCGUAAAGCGAGCGCAGGCGGUUAGAUAAGUCUGAAGUUAAAGGCUGUGGCUUAACCAUAGUAGGCUUUGGAAACUGUUUAACUUGAGUGCAAGAGGGGAGAGUGGAAUUCCAUGUGUAGCGGUGAAAUGCGUAGAUAUAUGGAGGAACACCGGUGGCGAAAGCGGCUCUCUGGCUUGUAACUGACGCUGAGGCUCGAAAGCGUGGGGAGCAAACAGGAUUAGAUACCCUGGUAGUCCACGCUGUAAACGAUGAGUGCUAGGUGUUAGACCCUUUCCGGGGUUUAGUGCCGUAGCUAACGCAUUAAGCACUCCGCCUGGGGAGUACGACCGCAAGGUUG